UCGGAGUAAACUUGUCACCGGUAUCAUCUCCCAUGAUCCCAUCUCGUUUUUCACUUUCUGUAGUUGCCAAGCUCUAAGUAAGAUAUGAGACAACAAAAUACAAAUCCAUUGGACUCCUUCCUGUAGUUGACAGUCUGAAAUUCCUCCACUUUCUCUUAAAAGCAUAUGUUGAAAGACUUACAGAUCAUGCAUUCCUGUCUACCAAAAGAAGAUGUAUGUCUGAGAGAAGUAUUUUAUAAAAUUCAAAGCAACAACAGAUAAGAACACCAGCUCAUAACCUGGAGGCAUG
RNAcentral lists this long non-coding RNA (289 nucleotides) under Oryza brachyantha (malo sina). Its description in RNAcentral is "long non-coding RNA (OBRA_LNC002542)". The record is from RNAcentral. Lineage: Eukaryota; Viridiplantae; Streptophyta; Magnoliopsida; Poales; Poaceae.